AAUAGCGGCCAUAGCAGAGGGGAAACACCUGGACCCAUUCCGAACCCAGCAGUUAAGCCCUCUCACGUGAUGUGUGGUACUGAGGUGCGCGAGCCCUCGGGAAGCGCAACUCGCUGCUAUUAC
RNAcentral lists this ribosomal RNA (123 nucleotides) under Methanoculleus sp. MH98A. The record is from RNAcentral. Lineage: Archaea; Methanobacteriati; Methanobacteriota; Methanomicrobia; Methanomicrobiales; Methanomicrobiaceae.